This 1372-nucleotide ribosomal RNA is filed under the name uncultured bacterium. RNAcentral describes it as "bacterial SSU rRNA". It matches the Rfam family "Bacterial small subunit ribosomal RNA", at positions 28 to 1381 of the family's 1533-position model. The record is from RNAcentral.
GAUGAACGCUGGCGGCGUGCCUAAUACAUGCAAGUCGAGCGAACGGACGAGAAGCUUGCUUCUCUGAUGUUAGCGGCGGACGGGUGAGUAACACGUGGAUAACCUACCUAUAAGACUGGGAUAACUUCGGGAAACCGGAGCUAAUACCGGAUAAUAUUUUGAACCGCAUGGUUCAAAAGUGAAAGACGGUCUUGCUGUCACUUAUAGAUGGAUCCGCGCUGCAUUAGCUAGUUGGUAAGGUAACGGCUUACCAAGGCAACGAUGCAUAGCCGACCUGAGAGGGUGAUCGGCCACACUGGAACUGAGACACGGUCCAGACUCCUACGGGAGGCAGCAGUAGGGAAUCUUCCGCAAUGGGCGAAAGCCUGACGGAGCAACGCCGCGUGAGUGAUGAAGGUCUUCGGAUCGUAAAACUCUGUUAUUAGGGAAGAACAUAUGUGUAAGUAACUGUGCACAUCUUGACGGUACCUAAUCAGAAAGCCACGGCUAACUACGUGCCAGCAGCCGCGGUAAUACGUAGGUGGCAAGCGUUAUCCGGAAUUAUUGGGCGUAAAGCGCGCGUAGGCGGUUUUUUAAGUCUGAUGUGAAAGCCCACGGCUCAACCGUGGAGGGUCAUUGGAAACUGGAAAACUUGAGUGCAGAAGAGGAAAGUGGAAUUCCAUGUGUAGCGGUGAAAUGCGCAGAGAUAUGGAGGAACACCAGUGGCGAAGGCGACUUUCAGGUCUGUAACUGACGCUGAUGUGCGAAAGCGUGGGGAUCAAACAGGAUUAGAUACCCUGGUAGUCCACGCCGUAAACGAUGAGUGCUAAGUGUUAGGGGGUUUCCGCCCCUUAGUGCUGCAGCUAACGCAUUAAGCACUCCGCCUGGGGAGUACGACCGCAAGGUUGAAACUCAAAGGAAUUGACGGGGACCCGCACAAGCGGUGGAGCAUGUGGUUUAAUUCGAAGCAACGCGAAGAACCUUAUCAAAUCUUGACAUCCUUUGACAACUCUAGAGAUAGAGCCUUCCCCUUCGGGGGACAAAGUGACAGGUGGUGCAUGGUUGUCGUCAGCUCGUGUCGUGAGAUGUUGGGUUAAGUCCCGCAACGAGCGCAACCCUUAAGCUUAGUUGCCAUCAUUAAGUUGGGCACUCUAAGUUGACUGCCGGUGACAAGCCGGAGGAAGGUGGGGAAGACGUCAAAUCAUCAUGCCCCUUAUGAUUUGGGCUACACACGUGCUACAAUGGACAAUACAAAGGGCAGCGAAACCGCGAGGUCAAGCAAAUCCCAUAAAGUUGUUCUCAGUUCGGAUUGUAGUCUGCAACUCGACUACAUGAAGCUGGAAUCGCUAGUAAUCGUAGAUCAGCAUGCUACGGUGAAUACGUUCCCGGGUCU